This is a long non-coding RNA of Gasterosteus aculeatus aculeatus (three-spined stickleback), 1921 nucleotides long. The record is from Ensembl. NCBI's taxonomy places the organism in Eukaryota, Metazoa, Chordata, Actinopteri, Perciformes, Gasterosteidae.
GAGUUAGUGUUCUCGUGGUACAUGUAGCAAAUAUUAAUGUGCAGACACACAUUCAAAAUGUGUUUUUGUUGUUGGCCUUAGUUUUUUUGCAGAAAUCGACCUGCUUUGUAUGAGCAGACAGUUCAACUCCAUCAGGUAUCAUUAACUGUUGUUUUUUUGUGUUAACAUCGCCUACCAGGGGGGCUGUAGUGCUGCAUUAGUAUGCACCCUGGGCCAAUGAAGAUGCAGAGAGCCAGAGAGACGCCUUUAUUCUCCCCGUAGCUUCAGCUUGCUGGACUUGUAGCGUGAUGCCAACGGUGCAUCUCGCUCGACAGUCUCGAUGAGUACUUUAAGGCCAGGUGGAAAUGACGCGUUCCUGCUAACUCUUCAGUGAGACCAUCAUGGAGGUUAGAUGGGGUCCUCCAGGCGAGGGCGCAUCCACAGAUGUGACACUGUAAUAGGAAGUAGUCCCAUUAAGAAGGUCAGACAGAUGUCAAGCGGUCCGCCCUUUGGUCACAAGGCUUAUCGAUUUCAGAAGGCAGGAAAAUCCAUUUGAGCCAAGGUGUUGUUGCUCAAUUUUGGGGGUUUAUCUUACAAUGAUGUGUGCUUCGCAUCUAAUUCUGAGCUUCUAAUGAUGUGAUCUUUCAUUCUGAUGAGUUAUAAUACAGUUAAAUGCAAUACACUCUAAUUACGAUGACGAGCAGGAGUAUCUGUGCACAGUAUUUACAUGUAGCACUUGGGCGCAACAACCUCAAUUUUUACCUGGAAAUUGUCAAAACUGUGUUGUUAGUUGUACAAAAUAAUGUGUGACAAUGUUUUAUUUUUAAGAGUAGGAAACAAAUACUGGCACGCCAUUUAAUAAUAGUAGAUCAUAUUAGCACACAUCCAUGCUACUUCAUUUGGUUUGUAAUUAAAUAAAAGAUAGACAACUUGAUGGAUAUUUAAAUACUAGUUUUUGAAUGUGGUGAUUUCUAAACCCUAUUAAUGGUUCUUCCUCUGAUUUCAAUUACAUCCUCAACCCUUUCUGCAUUAAAAUGACAUGUUUGACAAGCUUUUACGCUCAUAUUUAAAUAAGACUCUCAUUAAAAAGAUUUGAGUUUCUUUAGAAAAACAGCUUAAUAGUCCCUACUUUAACAGAAUAAUUUAUUUUAGAAGGAAUUCAAAGCUUUUAAUGACGCUUUUGUGUUUGAAAAGUUCAUCACUGAGCUGAAGCACAAUGAAAGUUAAAUUCUACAAACAUUUUGAAUGUUGUGUCUGCAUUUCUAGACUAAUUUAGCAGAUUAUGCAGGAAUAACAACCUGCAUUCUAGUGAUAUGGAUCACUGUACACACUCAUUUGGCUUCAUCACCAUCGUGGGAAAUAAAUCCUCCGUAGAAGAUGCAGGCAGCCGGUUGUCGCUGCUGCAGGCAGCAGGUCGGGACGGAUUAUGUAAACUGCACGAGUCCUUUAGAUGCUGUUUAGUUUCCACUAAGUGUCUCUUAAAAAUCUCCAGGCGGUUACGUUUUUUUUCCCAGAGAAAUCGUGGAAAACAGUUACAUGAUUUGGGCUUUAGAAUUCUGUGGGUUGUGUUUUGCUCAAAGAACCCUCACGCACGUUGUUUACCGAGAAAGAACAAGGAUGACAUUAAAUGAAGCUUAGGCGAAAAUUCAGUCAGGAAGACUGGACAGGCUGUGCCGUUCCCUGGGGGCCUCCUCUCUCCCUGGGGGGGCACGGCCAGCUGAUUAGGGGCGGGGUCGGGAAGUAUCAGACGGGUGUCGUUACUGUAAACCAAUCGCAUUGGCGCAGGCAAACGUUAAAAACUGUUCUCCUCUCUUUUGCUUGUCUUUGGACUGUGGGAGGAGAGAACUCACGCAGACACGGGAGGAACGUACAGCCUCCGCAUAGGACGGCCACCGUGCCGCCUCACUUCAUGGUACACAAAUUCAACAUCGGUAUAACUGUA